ACUGCAGCUGACCCUGGAGUGGACGGUCUGUUCCAGGCUUCGAGGAUUGUCACAAUCGGUGAUGGGUGACGUGCUGACUUCUGGGACACCCACUAGAUUGAUGGGCGCCUGCCUUAAGACCUCUGGCUUGUGCUCUGGAGCCAUUCCACUGGUCGAAAUCUUCCAGUGUGUGAGGCUAGCACCGGCAACUUAUAACUUCGGUAUGUCAAAGGCUAAUGCACCUAUGCCGGUUCUCUGCAACCUCAGCUAGCUUUGGCAGCACACUCAGCGCCUCAUGCUGGUCGAUGACGAGGGCGACCGCGAUUUCCUCACUUGCCUGGUGGUGCAUCCAGCAUAACCCUUGCUGCCUAUUGUGCUCCAAUGCUCCUGAAUGGGCCGCCCAUAUCUAACCUCGUGUUGCUUUGCAGUUCAGUUGUGGACCAUGGUGGCGAAUGCCCUGGGAGCUCCUUGCAUUACUCUCCUAAUCACAUUGCAUGGCUCCUUGCACGGCAGCCAAAAUACUCACUGUUUGGAUGAUAUGUAAGGAGAAUGGCUGCUUCUUUGGACCAUGCUGCACCUCUGUUCGGCACGUUUUCGAGCGUAUGGUGGACUAGGCAAAAAAAAUGGUGACAUGCGGGCCUUUGCCAUCUCCAAUAUAAUGUGAUUAGAGAGCCAGAUUAGAUGCUAUUAUAUUCAGCAUGAUGGAUGUUAAAUUCUUGAAUUUUGGAUGCUUGCAAUAUGCCGUGAUUCAAGUUCGUGAAUCUAAACAAGCAAAAGAAUGGUGCUGGCAAGCCACCGCCGGCCAGUCUCAUCGCCCACAGUCGCUACGUAUGAUGUGUAGGAGAUCUGCCUAGUGAUGAGGCGUUCGCGCUUGGAGGGCCUCACUCUGUCAGGGGCUACGGCAUAGGCGAACUAGGCGCUUCUAAGAACAUUCUCAAGGUUGUAGGGGAGAUCAAAGAUGCCAUGGCCUCGAUCUCAGAUUCUUUUCGGUAUACAUGGUCUCAUUGAAUACAAGUGAAUUGAUCAUAGAGGGCUUCAUAUAACGAGGUUAAAGAGCUGAAGUUUGAACAGAAAACAGACGAGGAGUAGAAGCUAUUUUUAGAAAUGGAUCCAACCUUCUAAGAAGCUGACAAGUUAUCCAGCCACAGGUCUUGUCGAUGGCUCCUUAGGGAGAAUAGAUGAAAAAUUAUGGUUUCCCCUCUUUUAUGUGUACUACAAUUUUAUGUAACAGUUCAGUAAUAAAUGGAAAAAAUAUGGUUUGGCCUCUUUUAU
Lolium perenne is the source of this 1251-nucleotide non-coding RNA. The record is from RefSeq and is a predicted model, not a curated record. NCBI's taxonomy places the organism in Eukaryota, Viridiplantae, Streptophyta, Magnoliopsida, Poales, Poaceae.